RNAcentral lists this ribosomal RNA (461 nucleotides) under Mycolicibacterium bacteremicum. Its description in RNAcentral is "bacterial SSU rRNA". It matches the Rfam family "Bacterial small subunit ribosomal RNA", at positions 96 to 571 of the family's 1533-position model. Lineage: Bacteria; Bacillati; Actinomycetota; Actinomycetes; Mycobacteriales; Mycobacteriaceae. The record is from RNAcentral.
UGGCGAACGGGUGAGUAACACGUGGGUGAUCUGCCCUGCACUUUGGGAUAAGCCUGGGAAACUGGGUCUAAUACCGAAUAUGAUCAUCGGCUUCAUGGUCGGUGGUGGAAAGCUUUUGCGGUGUGGGAUGGGCCCGCGGCCUAUCAGCUUGUUGGUGGGGUAAUGGCCUACCAAGGCGACGACGGGUAGCCGGCCUGAGAGGGUGACCGGCCACACUGGGACUGAGAUACGGCCCAGACUCCUACGGGAGGCAGCAGUGGGGAAUAUUGCACAAUGGGCGCAAGCCUGAUGCAGCGACGCCGCGUGAGGGAUGACGGCCUUCGGGUUGUAAACCUCUUUCAGCACAGACGAAGCGCAAGUGACGGUAUGUGCAGAAGAAGGACCGGCCAACUACGUGCCAGCAGCCGCGGUAAUACGUAGGGUCCGAGCGUUGUCCGGAAUUACUGGGCGUAAAGAGCUCG